This 66-nucleotide transfer RNA is filed under the name Drosophila flavibasis. RNAcentral's name for it is "tRNA-Trp". It matches the Rfam family "tRNA". From Rfam's summary of the family: Transfer RNA (tRNA) molecules are approximately 80 nucleotides in length. Lineage: Eukaryota; Metazoa; Arthropoda; Insecta; Diptera; Drosophilidae. The record is from RNAcentral.
AAGGCUUUAAGUUAAAUAAACUAAUAGCCUUCAAAGCUGUAAAUAUAGAUAAUUCUUUAAGCCUUA